GUUUUAUAUCACAUCUUCCCAUAUUGUUUUCAGAGGAAUGAGGUUUUUAGGUAGGUAGACAAAGCAUUUGUAGGAGGUUAGAUUUGAAUAUAGACAGGGUGGGUUGUUCAGGUGGUUAUUGGAUGGCUUCCAGAAUGUGAUUUGAAGAAUGUCUGUGAGUUCAGGUGGGUCCUGUUCAGUGCCAUAGAUAGAGUCCUCUCUCUGUAGGUCACCAUUACAUAGUAAUUUCGAUUCUGAAUUUCACAUUAAAUUAUUUGAGUGUAUACAGAUCUAAAUUUUAAAAUCUGUACAUAUAUUAUUUUGAUGUAUUAAGAUUAAUAAAUAUUGCUGAUUUAAAUUUUAUUUAUGCAUAUACUUAAAGGACAGAAAUGUCCAGAAAAGUAAUUGUUAAAUAAUAUGUAACUUUUUAACUUUUUAAAUAAAUAACAAGAUUUUUAAUGUGUGUCUCCCUCAGGGUUGUUUAAAGUUUUUUUUUUUUUCCCCUCCCUCAAAUAUAAAUAGUGGUAACUAUAU
This 513-nucleotide long non-coding RNA is filed under the name Bos taurus (domestic cattle). RNAcentral describes it as "long non-coding RNA NONBTAT000760". The record is from RNAcentral. Lineage: Eukaryota; Metazoa; Chordata; Mammalia; Artiodactyla; Bovidae.